AGCAAGGUGGUCUAAAUUAAGGCGUCAGGUUGUAGCCCUGGAAAUAACAUUAGUUUCUUGCA
This 62-nucleotide transfer RNA is filed under the name Eurylepta cornuta. Its description in RNAcentral is "tRNA-Tyr". Lineage: Eukaryota; Metazoa; Platyhelminthes; Polycladida; Euryleptidae. The record is from RNAcentral.